Molecule: long non-coding RNA, 1156 nt
Filed under: Homo sapiens (human)
Lineage: Eukaryota; Metazoa; Chordata; Mammalia; Primates; Hominidae
Description: HSALNT0316430
Source: RNAcentral
UUCAAGCGAUUCUCCUGCCUCACCCUCCUGAGUAGCUGGGACUACAGGCCUGCGCCACCACACCUGGCUAACUUCUGAAUAUCAAGCUGAAAUUACUAUCAGAUAUCUUGCCACCACAUAGAGGCUUUGAGUGAAGUCUGCAUGGAGGAGAACAGAGCUGAGAGAUGGAAAGAUACUGAAUCCCAGUGACGUCCUUUGAGAUGUCGGAUCAAGCUGAGCUGGGCAUGAAGAUAGAGCUACUCCUAUACUUUUAAGAUACUCUACCACUCACAGAAACUACCUUUUAGUGCAACCACGGUGGAACCCUGCCAUAGUAUCUCUAGCAAUAACAAGCAAGAUUCAGAAGUCCAACAAGUAAGACAUUGAUUUCAUUAAGAGAGAACUAGUAAGCAAGCUAUUUGGGAAGUACACUCUCAUAAGAAUAUUGUUUCAUGAAGUCUUGAGCAACAAAGGAAAUAGUCCAUGAAGUGCACUGCUGUCAGACUCCCUCUAAGAAUACUUCAACUGCUCAUGAAGCGGGGGGCCUUAACUAUUUACUUCUUUUGGAAGCCUCCAUCUGGCCCAUCUAUCUUUAUUCUCCCAGGAUCACAGGCAGAACACCUGAGCCACAGUAUCAGAACUAGGGUUGGAAGCCUGCUUUUCCUGGAAUGAAACCCCUCACUCUUCAAGUGUCCAGGAGACAAGAGUCAUUGUGCAAGCCUAUCUCUAGAGAGGCUAACAGACUCUUUCUGGCUUUGAAAGAAACAAGCUGCCAUAUUGAAACAAGCUGCCAUAUUAUGUGUGAGCUGCCCUAAGGAAAGACACACAUGGUAAGGAAGAGAGGAUGACCUCUGGCUGAUAGGCAGCAAGAAACUAAGGACCUCAGUCUGAGAACCUGCAAGGAGCUGAAUUCUUCCAAUUACCAUGUGAGCUUGGAAGCAGCUCCUUCCCCAGUCAAGCCUCAGAUGAGACCCCAGCCCUGGCCAACACCUUGAUUGCAGCCUCUUAUGAAGAUUGUAGUCCCUAAGCAGAAAAUCCAGAUAACCUGUGCCCAGAUUGCUGAGCCACAGAAAUUCACUGAGAUAAUAAACGUGUGUUUCAAGCUGCUGAAUUUGUGGUAAUUUGUUGAAAACUAAUAGGUAACUAACAGAUAAUGUAUGCCCUGUUCUUUAAACAU